UGCAGGAAGCCCUUCCUGUGCUCUGAGCCUCUCCCGCUGCUGUGGACGUUUGUGACUGCCCUGCAGGGCACCGGGCCAGGUGAUGCAGACCAGGCCCUGUGGUGACAACCUCAGGGUUCCACGGGGAGACGUGGGACCCUCCUGUCCCCAGGCCCCAGCCCAGGCCGCCUCCCAGAUUUGUG
RNAcentral lists this long non-coding RNA (182 nucleotides) under Ictidomys tridecemlineatus (thirteen-lined ground squirrel). RNAcentral describes it as "lncRNA (ENSSTOG00000029800.1)". Lineage: Eukaryota; Metazoa; Chordata; Mammalia; Rodentia; Sciuridae. The record is from RNAcentral.